GACGAACGCUGGCGGCGUGCUUAACACAUGCAAGUCGAACGGAAAGGCCCUGCUUUUGUGGGGUGCUCGAGUGGCGAACGGGUGAGUAACACGUGAGUAACCUGCCCUUGACUUUGGGAUAACUUCAGGAAACUGGGGCUAAUACCGGAUAGGAGCUCCUGCUGCAUGGUGGGGGUUGGAAAGUUUCGGCGGUUGGGGAUGGACUCGCGGCUUAUCAGCUUGUUGGUGGGGUAGUUGCUUACCAAGGCUUUGACGGGUAGCCGGCCUGAGAGGGUGACCGGCCACAUGGGGACUGAGAUACGGCGCAGACUCCAACGGGAGGCAGCAGGGGGGAAUAUUGCACAAUGGGCGGAAGCCUGAUGCAGCAACGCCGCGUGCGGGAUGACGGCCUUCGGGUUGUAAACCGAUGUCGCCUGUGACGAAGCGUGAGUGACGGUAAUGGGUAAAGAAGCACCGGCUAACUACGUG
RNAcentral lists this ribosomal RNA (468 nucleotides) under uncultured bacterium. RNAcentral describes it as "partial 16S ribosomal RNA". It matches the Rfam family "Bacterial small subunit ribosomal RNA", at positions 28 to 507 of the family's 1533-position model. The record is from RNAcentral.